This 408-nucleotide ribosomal RNA is filed under the name Triticum aestivum (bread wheat). Its description in RNAcentral is "partial small subunit ribosomal RNA". Lineage: Eukaryota; Viridiplantae; Streptophyta; Magnoliopsida; Poales; Poaceae. The record is from RNAcentral.
AUGGAGAUUCAGCAACUGAGAUGCCGAGUAAAUUAUGCCUCUCUGAGAUUUACCGCCGAAAUUGAAGAUUUGGGCAAGCGUGUAAUUAGAAUACUUCGCCAAAAUGGUCCUUUCUUGGUUCUUCCUUUACGUUACGAAAUGGAUAUGCCGGCUUUCUCUGGUUGUACUCAAGGGUGCAGUAACGAAGAGUCAGAAGAGCUCACAAGAAUGAGGUAUGCUUAUCCGUGGUGGAAAGAGAAAAUCAUUGACUCGGACUUGAAAAGAAGAGAUGGCCUUUGCCCAUUGACGCCCUUGUUCUCUGAGCAUUGUACAUCGAUAGAAGUAUGCAAAUAUACAUCGCAGCUGGGGAAAUAUAUGGUGGAAAACGCAGGAUGGCAGCUCUCACAUCAGCUUAUCCGAAUGUGGUGA